GAUAUUCUUUUUUAACUAGAUUUUUAUUGUACCUAAUAUCUGAAUGUUAUUGAUAUAAAUUAUAGAAGGUUAAGUGAGAGUUUAAGUUGUGUUUAUAAGUGUCUUUCAGAAUCAAGUACAUACUUAAAUUCAUUUUUUUAUAGUCCUCCUUGGAUUAUUUCUUCCAUAAAAAUUUGGGAAUUAUAGCAAUCUUAGGAUUUCUCAUUUGUUCAUAUCAUUUCACUGGUCCAACUUUUUUUAUUUGUUAUGAAAAUAAAUGUCCAGGUGUAUUUAAAAUAUCAAUAGAAAAAUUUGAGGAACUCAUUUAAAAAUAGAUUAACUUUGUUAGAAGUUAUUCUUUUUUUCUUGUCUCUCUUUUUUUUUAAUUUGUUCUAAUUAGUUUUACAUGACAAUAGAAUACACUUUGACAUAUCUGAUAUAAAUGGAGUAUAAUUUCUUAUCCUUCUGGUUGUACAUAAUGUAGAAUCACACCAGUCACGUAGCCAUAUAUGUACAUAGGGUAAUAAUGUCUGAUUCAUUCUACUAUCCUUCCUCCCCCCAUAAGAAGUUAUUCUUUUGAGCAAAACAAAAGCAGUUACUUUAAUAUGGUUGUACAGAAAAUAAAUUACAUAAAUAAAUAUUGAUUUUUAUUAUAGUCCUAAAAGAGUUUGACUGUGGUGAUGGUGAAGAGCUUUGUAAAUUUAUAAAGUUAUCAAUCCAUACAUUCAUAACAGAUGAAUAUCCUGUAUAUUAUACCUCAAUAAAAACUUUAAAUAUAGUUAGAUGAACAUCAUUCCAAGUAUGUUUUCCUCUGCAUGUAUAAAAUGUAAACAAUAGAUAUCCUUUUAAAAUGUACUUACAUGAAUGCUGUUUUUAGAUUUAAAAAAAAACUGGCUUGACUUUAACAGAAGAAAAGGAAAUUGAAGUGAAACUGGAGGAAUUUUAAACUUCAAAUCUUUCAUUUUGAGAUAUAUUACUUUUUAAAGGAACUCUCCCAGAUUAUGAAAUAAAAACAAAGGAAAAAUUUGAGCAAUCCUAGUCAUUGUGCUUUAAAACCUCAGGGUUCAAAUGGACUUCCUGGUAUAAAAUCAUAAAUGCUACCACUCAUACUUCCUUUAAUAUUACAACCCCUU
This 1112-nucleotide long non-coding RNA is filed under the name Marmota monax (woodchuck). The record is from RNAcentral. Lineage: Eukaryota; Metazoa; Chordata; Mammalia; Rodentia; Sciuridae.